AUAUCUCUCUGUACGGGAAGGAUGAGAAGCUUCGACUAAGGUUCGAUUCGAGCGCAGCGAGAAAGCGUUGCCGCAGGCAACGACCCGAAGGGCGAAGCGCGCAGCGCUGAGUCAUCCUUCCCCCACCACC
Molecule: small RNA, 130 nt
Filed under: Salmonella enterica
Lineage: Bacteria; Pseudomonadati; Pseudomonadota; Gammaproteobacteria; Enterobacterales; Enterobacteriaceae
Also listed under: 2 other names
Description: partial RtT sRNA
Rfam family: RtT RNA
About the family: This family represents a bacterial cis-regulatory element known as RtT RNA.
Source: RNAcentral